UACGUAGGCAGCAAGCGUUGUUCGGAAUUACUGGGCGUAAAGAGUGUGUAGGCGGUGCUCUAAGUUAGGUGUGAAAUCUCCCGGCUCAACCGGGAGGGUGCGCCGAAAACUGGGAGACUAGAGUGCGGGAUGGGAGAGUAGAAUUCCUGGUGUAGCGGUGAAAUGCGUAGAUAUCAGGAGGAACACCUGUGGCGAAAGCGGCUCACUGGACCAUAACUGACGCUGAUGCACGAAAGCUAGGGGAGCAAACAGG
RNAcentral lists this ribosomal RNA (253 nucleotides) under uncultured bacterium. RNAcentral describes it as "partial 16S ribosomal RNA". It matches the Rfam family "Bacterial small subunit ribosomal RNA", at positions 524 to 776 of the family's 1533-position model. The record is from RNAcentral.